CCAGACUCCUACGGGAGGCAGCAGUGGGGAAUAUUGCACAAUGGGGGAAACCCUGAUGCAGCGACGCCGCGUGAGUGAAGAAGUAUUUCGGUAUGUAAAGCUCUAUCAGCAGGGAAGAAAAUGACGGUACCUGACCAAGAAGCCCCGGCUAACUACGUGCCAGCAGCCGCGGUAAUACGUAGGGGGCAAGCGUUAUCCGGAUUUACUGGGUGUAAAGGGAGCGUAGACGGUUGUGCAAGUCAGAAGUGAAAGCCCGGGGCUCAACUCCGGGACUGCUUUUGAAACUGUGAAACUGGAGUGCAGGAGAGGUAAGCGGAAUUCCUGGUGUAGCGGUGAAAUGCGUAGAUAUCAGGAGGAACACCGGCGGCGAAGGCGGCCUGCUGGACCGUAACUGACGUUGAGGCUCGAAAGCGUGGGGAGCAAACAGGAUUAGAUACCCGGGUACCU
RNAcentral lists this ribosomal RNA (447 nucleotides) under uncultured bacterium. RNAcentral describes it as "bacterial SSU rRNA". It matches the Rfam family "Bacterial small subunit ribosomal RNA", at positions 331 to 795 of the family's 1533-position model. The record is from RNAcentral.